This 253-nucleotide ribosomal RNA is filed under the name uncultured bacterium. Its description in RNAcentral is "partial 16S ribosomal RNA". It matches the Rfam family "Bacterial small subunit ribosomal RNA", at positions 524 to 776 of the family's 1533-position model. The record is from RNAcentral.
UACGUAGGGGGCAAGCGUUGUCCGGAUUUAUUGGGCGUAAAGAGCGUGUAGGCGGCCAGACAGGUCAGCUGUGAAAACUCGAGGCUCAACCUCGAGACGUCGGUUGAAACCGUCUGGCUAGAGUCCGGAAGAGGAGAGUGGAAUUCCCGGUGUAGCGGUGAAAUGCGCAGAUAUCGGGAAGAACAUCCGUGGCGAAGGCGGCUCUCUGGGACGGUACUGACGCUGAGACGCGAAAGCGUGGGGAGCGAACAGG